This 346-nucleotide ribosomal RNA is filed under the name uncultured bacterium. RNAcentral's name for it is "bacterial SSU rRNA". It matches the Rfam family "Bacterial small subunit ribosomal RNA", at positions 8 to 334 of the family's 1533-position model. The record is from RNAcentral.
AGGGUUUGAUUAUGGCUCAGGAUGAACGCUGGCGGCGUGCCUAACACAUGCAAGUCGAGCGAAGCACAUUGCUAUGAAUCUUUCGGGAGGAAGAGCGAAGUGACUUAGCGGCGGACGGGUGAGUAACGCGUGGGUAACCUGCCUCAUACAGGGGGAUAACAGUUAGAAAUGACUGCUAAUACCGCAUAAGCGCACAGGACCGCAUGGUCAAGUGUGAAAAACUGAGGUGGUAUGAGAUGGACCCGCGUCUGAUUAGCUAGUUGGUGAGGUAAGGGCUCACCAAGGCAACGAUCAGUAGCCGACCUGAGAGGGUGACCGGCCACAUUGGGACUGAGACACGGCCCAA